CUACGUGCCAGCAGCCGCGGUAAUACGUAGGUGGCAAGCGUUGUCCGGAUUUAUUGGGCGUAAAGCGAGCGCAGGCGGUCAAUUAAGUCUGAUGUGAAAGCUCCCGGCUCAACCGGGGAGGGUCAUUGGAAACUGGUUGACUUGAGUGCAGAAGAGGAGAGUGGAAUUCCAUGUGUAGCGGUGAAAUGCGUAGAUAUAUGGAGGAACACCAGUGGCGAAGGCGACUCUCUGGUCUGUAACUGACGCUGAGGCUCGAAAGCGUGGGUAGCAAACAGGAUUAGAUACCCUGGUAGUCCACGCCGUAAACGAUGAGUGCUAAGUGUUGGAGGGUUUCCGCCCUUCAGUGCUGCAGUUAACGCAUUAAGCACUCCGCCUGGGGAGUACGGUCGCAAGAUUAAAACUCAAAGGAAUUGACGGGGACCCGCACAAGCGGUGGAUGAUGUGGAUUAAUUCGAUGCAACGCGAAGAACCUUAC
This 475-nucleotide ribosomal RNA is filed under the name uncultured bacterium. RNAcentral's name for it is "bacterial SSU rRNA". It matches the Rfam family "Bacterial small subunit ribosomal RNA", at positions 501 to 974 of the family's 1533-position model. The record is from RNAcentral.